Molecule: unclassified non-coding RNA, 2484 nt
Filed under: uncultured fungus
Lineage: Eukaryota; Fungi
Description: sequence contains 18S rRNA gene, ITS1, 5.8S rRNA gene, ITS2, 28S rRNA gene
Rfam family: Eukaryotic large subunit ribosomal RNA (bases 1371-2484)
Source: RNAcentral
GGUUGGAUCAUUAAAAAAAUUCUCUCGGGUCUCGUCAACCCGGGGGAGACUAGGGGACUCGUCCGAGCUAAGCGCGGCCGGGUAACUUUGGUCUAUAAACUAAACCUAACCUAAUCGUGAUAUCUAAAACGCACAGUGUAUAACUUUAAAACCCGAACUAACCGGUCGGACCGAAGCGAGAGGGGAGGAAGGAGAGAGAGGGGAACCUGUAGAGCUCGAAUACCAAUUAUCGAGACUCGAGAGGACACGACCCCCUUCCGGAACCCCCGAUCGUGGAAGCGAGACCAAAGAGCGAGCGAUCUCUCUAUAAACUAAAAAACAACCUUAAUCAGCGGAUGUCUCGGUUACCCCUUCGAUGAAGAGCACGGCAAAAUGUGAUAAUUAUUGUGAAUUGCAAAACCAGCGAAUCAUCGAGUUCUUGAACGCACUGCGCCUUGUGGCCUCGGCCGCUCGGCAUACCAUUUUCAGCGGCUUGCAAUAUAUGCCAUUCGUGGCGAUUGGUCUAAGUAGAGGGAGACCCCUACCCCGAUCUAAGUCUAACGGGUUCUAGUGAAAUUCAAUCAAUCAGGUUUUUUUGAGGUGCCCCUCGUGAUUUGCAUGUGUAGUCCCCUCCCUUCUCGUGAGCUCUAGGGCCGAGUCGGGGGACAGGUGCCCCCUAAUAUAUUCUGCGUGGUCUUCCCUCUUCUCGUGAGCUCUCUAGGGCCGGGUCGAGCGAUAGGUGCCCCCUAAUUUAUUUUGAGUGGUCUUCUCUCUCCUCGGGGCCGAGUCAUCGGCCGGGGAGAGGGGCGGGUUCGCCUUGCAAUGAACAAGCGUGGUCUUCUCUUCUCGGGGCCGAGUAAUCGGCCGGGGGGAGAUCUCUCCUUGGGGCCAUAGGCCGAGGAGGGGGAAGGAUUCCUGAGCGAACGAAGCUAAGUAACUAUACCCAAAGUGCGGUGAGAAAAGGAGCUCUCGAUUAUCGAGAAGGCCAGGGGAAAGCGAAAGCCGGACCCAGUAAACCUUCUCGAGAGGCGAGCUCUCCCUACUAUCUCCGCUAGUGAAUUCUAUCUAGUAAUUCUAGUUCCACCAAACCUCUCUCUCCUCUCGAUUAUGAGGGGGUCUCUCGCUUUGAAAGAGCCGAGGGUACGGAGGGUCUCAGAAAGGUCGUGCUUUUAAUUAUUCGAACUCGGUCUCAGUUAUCGCACUCGCCCACGCAGGGAGGGGGGAACUGAGCCCGGUAGUAGGAGAGAGCUCGGCUGAUCCAUUAUGAGGCCCUUCCCGAUCCCGAGGACACGUACUUUCAUAAAUAUAUUAUCAAGGCGAGGGGUCCCGGAGUCCCGAGAAAGAGGAGGCGCUAAUGGAACGAAAAGUGACCGGUAGAUUUUGCGACCGCAAUGCCCUGAGAAUGGUAAGACCACCCGGAGGAUUUAAGCAUAUCAAUAUCCGGAGGAAAAGAAACUAACGAGGAUUCCCCUAGUAACUGCGAGUGAAGAGGGAUGAGCUCAAGCCUAAAUCUACCAGGCUCCGGCCUGGUCGAAUUGUAGUUUUGUGGGAAGGGUCUCGGUCGGGGGGAAGGAGCGAAUUCGUCUGGAACGGCGAACCGUAGAGGGUGAAAGUCCCGUACCUCCUUUUCUUCGGCCAUCAGAGUCCCGACUCGAAGAGUCGUACACCUUGAGAUUGGUGUGCAAAAAGGGUGGUAAACUCCAUCUAAAGCUAAAUAUUGGGGGGUAAUCCGAUAGUGCAAAAGUAGCGUGAGCGAAAGAUGCAAAGAACUCUGGAGAGAGAGUUAAAAGUACCUGAAACUGACUAAGGGGAAGCGAUCGGUCGUAGCCACACGGGGUGUCUAGUCCAAGUUGGGUUCGUCUAGGCGGGGGGAAGAUUAGGGGGCGAUAGUCCCCGGUCCAACUUCGUCGAAAGCGGGCUUGAUGGAAAGCUAGGCUCCUCGGUCAAUGGGGAUUGGUAUCAUGGUCGAAGAAAUUACUUCGGGGAAAGCCGUUUGUCAGGCGGUGGCUCCCGAGGUAACUAUUCGGCCUGGCCGGUCCUAGCAUUAAGCUCAUCCUGGGGGCCGUAAGGCGAGACAGAUUUCGACGUCGGGUCUCUCGGGUCGGGUACUACUUGUAGUGUCCGGUUCGGGGGGUCCUUCAUAGGGGUUGAGUCUCACCCUGGGGGUAUUGAUCGUGCGAGAUUGAUUGUCCCGUCUUGAAACACGGACCAAGGAGUUUAUCGGUGUGCCGAGUCUAAGAGCGUGAAAAACUUUUAGGCGAAGCGAAAGCAUAGGGAACCUAUCUGGCUUCGGCCGGCCGCAGUUCCGUUCUCUCUUCGGGUUUACUCGAUGAGGGAAAAGGAGGUGCACCGAUAAGACCCGAAAGAAGGUGAACUUUACCUGUAUAGGUUGAAGCCGAAAGAAAUUUCGGUGGAGGAUCGUAGCGAUACUGACGUGCAAAUCGUUCGUCGAAUAUGGGCAAAGCGGCGAAAGACUAAUCGAAUCUUCUAGUAGCUGGUUCCUUU